CACAGAGAAAGUUUGAGGAGGAGCAUCUGAUAUGACGGAGAGAACGCUGCCCUUCCUCCCCAAGGGUAAAUAACGACUAACUGUAGAUUCGCGCUCAGUAACGGACGAACCACGAGCAGCCAUGGAACAGCUUGGUCCAUUAGGGUAUGCUGGCGCUGCAGUGCUUCAGGUUAUAUUCGGCAUCCCUCUUGCUGCUCUACAAUUAAUAUUCGGGCCUUUAAACAGCGUCACCGCAUGCAAAGGGUUCUCAGCCGGGCUCAUACCCUUUACAAUGCGGCUGUUAAGAGGCGAUGACGUCAAAUGGUAUUUCGAUUCAUGCUGAAGCUGAAGGAAGGGAAAAAAUGGCGCCACGUGCUCAUCAAAUUGAAGUAUAAAUAUUGCUUAUUCCAGUUCCGUGUUUUUGUAUUUUUAUUUAUUUAUGUAUGGGUGUAUUGAUUCAUUAAUUUAUUAACUAGUUUGCAUGUCUGCUUGUUUAUAUGUCACUGGAAUUUGAAUAGUGUGUGUAUAUCUUUCUGCGUAUCCUAAAAAAUCAAACAUCUAUUGUAAUGUACCAAUAGAUAUGAUGAGUAAAUAUUUUCAAAAUUGUAGGGUUAUAAUCAGAAACUGCAGUCAAUUCUUAUAUAAGAAGUCCAUAGAUAAUUUUGUAUAUGUAAACCUUUGCAUUGUGAAUGAUGCAAGCAAAAUAUGUACUAUAUAUGUGUUUAUGGAUGCGUUAUUUGCUUUGUAUUUCAGUCUAUGUUAAUUUUUAAAUAUAGCCUGCCUGAGGCUCUUGUUGACCUCUGUCAAAAGUUUUA
Long non-coding RNA from Penaeus chinensis, 794 nucleotides. RefSeq lists it as uncharacterized. NCBI's taxonomy places the organism in Eukaryota, Metazoa, Arthropoda, Malacostraca, Decapoda, Penaeidae. The transcript has 3 exons. The record is from RefSeq and is a predicted model, not a curated record.